Small nuclear RNA from Nannospalax galili (Upper Galilee mountains blind mole rat), 106 nucleotides. NCBI's taxonomy places the organism in Eukaryota, Metazoa, Chordata, Mammalia, Rodentia, Spalacidae. The record is from Ensembl.
GUGCUGGCUUUGGGAGCACAAAUACUAAAAUAUAGAAAUGAUACAGGGAUUAGAAUGGCUCCUGUGCAAGGAAAACAAGCAAAUCCACGAAGUAUUCCAUUCAAAA